UAGGGAAUCUUCGGCAAUGGGGGCAACCCUGACCGAGCAACGCCGCGUGAGUGAAGAAGGUUUUCGGAUCGUAAAGCUCUGUUGUAAGUCAAGAACGGGUGUGAGAGUGGAAAGCUCACACUGUGACGGUAGCUUACCAGAAAGGGACGGCUAACUACGUGCCAGCAGCCGCGGUAAUACGUAGGUCCCGAGCGUUGUCCGGAUUUAUUGGGCGUAAAGCGAGCGCAGGCGGUUUGAUAAGUCUGAAGUUAAAGGCUGUGGCUCAACCAUAGUUCGCUUUGGAAACUGUCAAACUUGAGUGCAGAAGGGGAGAGUGGAAUUCCAUGUGUAGCGGUGAAAUGCGUAGAUAUAUGGAGGAACACCGGUGGCGAAAGCGGCUCUCUGGUCUGUAACUGACGCUGAGGCUCGAAAGCGUGGGGAGCGAACAGGAUUAGAUACCCUGGUAGUCCACGCCGUAAACGAUGAGUGCUAGGUGUUGGAUCCUUUCCGGGAUUCAGUGCCGCAGCUAACGCAUUAAGCACUCCGCCUGGGGAGUACGACCGCAAGGUUGAAACG
RNAcentral lists this ribosomal RNA (555 nucleotides) under uncultured bacterium. RNAcentral's name for it is "partial 16S ribosomal RNA". It matches the Rfam family "Bacterial small subunit ribosomal RNA", at positions 355 to 901 of the family's 1533-position model. The record is from RNAcentral.